Non-coding RNA from Odocoileus virginianus texanus, 1119 nucleotides. The record is from RefSeq and is a predicted model, not a curated record. Lineage: Eukaryota; Metazoa; Chordata; Mammalia; Artiodactyla; Cervidae.
GAGCACUUCGCUGCUUGCUGGACAUGCUGUGUCAUAUUUGGUUCAUGCUAUGGAAUUGCUUUUCAAAAGUCCCCAAAUUUCCCUCUAAGGGGUUGUAGGCCUAUUGGGGUACUGGAUAUUGAUAUUCCACAGUGCUGCUCAUGCUGUAAAGGUUGAAAGCACAGUGAAAUUCGGUCGACAAUCUUUGGUACCGUGUUCUGGAAAUGAGAUGGUAUGCCUAGAUGGCCAGGUGAAAAAGGAGCUCUGCCAAGCAAGCCCCAAGGAGAUGUGCAGCCUCCACAGGAUGUUUUAUUAUUGGCUUCUGAGGAAGUGGAGAAAGCCACAAUUAUCAUGACUUUCUUGCAAGACUAUGCAUGCUGUGACCCCAGUUCACCCCGGAACUUCAUUCAACUCUACCACAUCUGAUGCUCCUGUGUUUCUGUCGCACUUGUGUUAUUUAGUUCCUUGAGUUAAGUCUUCAAACUGGCUCCCACCUCUGUAUAUGCUAUUGUCCUAUUGAUCUUCUGUUUAUAGUUUUUAUUUCUUAAAUGGAGAAGAGGGUACAACCCACUAUAAUCUCUUUUAUCCAAGUCACAUUGUAUAGGAUCUCAACUUGUUCUACUAGUUACUGCAAGUCUGAUAUGUGGCUUAUUAAAUUUAGUAAUUAUUAUUUUUGGCAGUGGGUCUAGAAAUGUAGAGAAGAAAUUCAGUGAUUUUAAUCAACAGGAUAUAUGUACAUCAUCUUAUGAAAUAUCAAUUAAAGAGUACUUGAAGCAAGUGUUGCCAAAGGCAGUGACUUCCAAAAUUUGGCAAAUCUGGAAAUUUCCCUGAUAAAUUGUGCUGAAAAAAAAAAAAAAACCAAAAACAACUUUCAUGUAAAAUGUAUAGAGAUUUGAGACAAAUAUAGGUAUAUGUUGGCUAUAAUUUAUCUUGUGCAUGGCUUAAUUCCCUUAUCUGAGAAACAAAUAAUAUUACUUCAGCUCCCCCAAUCCCUAAAUAUAGGGUUCAUGCUGCCUUGUAGCAGAUUUUUAAGAUCACCAUAGGCUUUUAUGAAAGCACAGAGAUUUCAACCAACAUGGUUUCCAGGAUUUCCAUCCACAAAGAAGUACGGCAUCCAGGUUUUUAUUGUUUAGUCACAAA